UGGGGAAUAUUGUACAAUGGGCGCAAGCCUGACGCAGCGACGCCGCGUGAGGGAAGAAGGCCUUCGGGUUGUAAACCUCUUCAGUAGGGACGAAGCUACUCGGGUGAAUAGCCCAGAGGGUGACGGUACCUACAGAAGAAGCCCCGGCUAACUACGUGCCAGCAGCCGCGGUAAUACGUAGGGGGCAAGCGUUGUCCGGAUUUAUUGGGCGUAAAGAGCUCGUAGGUGGUUCGGUAAGUCGGAUGUGAAAUCUCCAGGCUCAACCUGGAGGGGUCAUUCGAUACUGCCGUGACUAGAGUUCGGUAGGGGAGUGUGGAAUUCCUGGUGGAGCGGUGAAAUGCGCAGAUAUCAGGAGGAACACCCGUAGCGAAGGCGGCACUCCGGGCCGAUACUGACACUGAGGAGCGAAAGCGUGGGGAGCGAACAGGAUUAGAUACC
RNAcentral lists this ribosomal RNA (438 nucleotides) under uncultured bacterium. Its description in RNAcentral is "bacterial SSU rRNA". It matches the Rfam family "Bacterial small subunit ribosomal RNA", at positions 355 to 786 of the family's 1533-position model. The record is from RNAcentral.